CCUACGGGGGGCAGCAGUGGGGAAUAUUGGACAAUGGGGGGAACCCUGAUCCAGCCAUGCCGCGUGUGUGAAGAAGGCCCUCGGGUUGUAAAGCACUUUCAGUGAGGAAGAACGCCUGGUGGUUAAUACCCAUCAGGAAAGACAUCACUCACAGAAGAAGCACCGGCUAACUCCGUGCCAGCAGCCGCGGUAAUACGGAGGGUGCGAGCGUUAAUCGGAAUUACUGGGCGUAAAGCGCGCGUAGGUGGCUUGAUAAGCCGGUUGUGAAAGCCCCGGGCUCAACCUGGGAACGGCAUCCGGAACUGUCAAGCUAGAGUGCAGGAGAGGAAGGUAGAAUUCCCGGUGUAGCGGUGAAAUGCGUAGAGAUCGGGAGGAAUACCAGUGGCGAAGGCGGCCUUCGGGACUGACACUGACACUGAGGUGCGAAAGCGUGGGUAGCAAACAGGAUUAGAUACCCUUGUAGUC
This 465-nucleotide ribosomal RNA is filed under the name Vreelandella stevensii. RNAcentral's name for it is "partial 16S ribosomal RNA". It matches the Rfam family "Bacterial small subunit ribosomal RNA", at positions 338 to 795 of the family's 1533-position model. The record is from RNAcentral. Lineage: Bacteria; Pseudomonadati; Pseudomonadota; Gammaproteobacteria; Oceanospirillales; Halomonadaceae.